Rhododendron vialii is the source of this 1938-nucleotide long non-coding RNA. RefSeq lists it as uncharacterized. NCBI's taxonomy places the organism in Eukaryota, Viridiplantae, Streptophyta, Magnoliopsida, Ericales, Ericaceae. The record is from RefSeq and is a predicted model, not a curated record. The transcript has 2 exons.
AUAUAUAUGCAUCAUGAGUCCGUGACUCAUAUUCGCCAACCAUCUCAAAGUAAUUCUCUCACGCCUCUCUCCACCUCCAUCUCCUCAUUCCCAUUCACAACCAACUGCUCUCAAUUUUUCUCCGUCGCCAAUUGCCACAAUAAGGGCGGAGUCCACAAAACAGAGAUGAACAACUUUACUUUGUUGGUGAAAGGGAUGAGAUUGCCAAGAGAAUUGACAGAUUUCUAGCUCAAUCGGAGGUAAAUAGGGCUCCCACAGUCUCGCUCAUUGAUCUCAUACACACACAGCUCUUGAACCUUAUCAAAACCCAAAACAAAAGAAAAUUGCAAUUAAAAAAAAUUGAUGGGAAAGAAAUCUGGAUUUGAGGUAUGCAGAACUCCUACAAGUCAUUGUUGCUGCUGCUGAGAUCAAUGAUAGGAGUAGGGUUUGAAGGUUGGGGUUUGGAUUUAAAUUAGUGGGGUUAAAGUAUUCGUUUACUUCUCGCCUCACUUGAACGGCGUCCAUGAUGGUUGGAAUUCAGAAGAGUUUUGCCAGUACACGUGAGAAAGAGAGGGGGAGGGAUAUUCAAAAAAAAAAUUAUUUAGAUCGAAUUCAAAUUUUCAGAUCAGAUAUCCGAUUUUACAAAUUAAGAUACGGAUUACCACCACCGGAUUUAUGAAUUUCGGAUUCAGAUUGAAUACGAGCAAUUGUGGAUUUGGAUCGAAUUCAAAUCUGUCAGAUUUGGAUCGAAUUCAAAUCUAUCAAAUUUGGAUUCAAUCAGGUCCAUUGACAGGUCUACUGCUGUGAGUUGUUUAUGUUAUCGAAACUUCUACUUUUGUCUGCGAUACUGUAACUAUUAAAGUAAGUACAAUGAGUAAUUCUUCUGUCAAAGCUGAAGGAAAACUAAAGACGACAAUAAUUUAAUGCAAAGAAAUCAGUAGAAGCAUCUUGCAAUUAAUUAAUGAAGUAAAAAGAGAAACAAUAAUGGCAUUUUUAAUUGUAACGCCAACUAUACUGUUAAAUGUUAAUUAAAUGAUUUUCUUUUAUUUUUUUUGGGAACAUAUCAUACUGUUUACAUGAUAGAAUUUGCCUAGUUAAAGGAAUAAUUACCAACAAGAAGGUGUGCAUUAAUUGCCUAAUAAGCGUGUUUAUGGUGCUCAUUAAAACUACCCUUUAUAUGAUGCAUUUGCCUUUUCCAUUUCAGCCCAAAACUCACCUAAACUAACCCAAUUUUCCUUUUCCAAAUAGCUAGUAUAAGCUUCUAAAGCAAACUCAGAAAAAUCCUUUUGCUUCUUUUUCCUCAGAAGUACAAAAAUCCCUAGGAGUAUUUUCAGCUUUUAACUUUUUCGUGAUCCCACAUCUUGAGAGAGAGAAAGAGAGAGAAAAAUGACACUCCUACCAGGGAGGUACCCAAAAGGGUCAGCAUGAAUGGAAAAAUUACUCAGUACCCCUGGCACCUCUCUUCAACCACACAUUUUUGUGGGGUGUGGUUGGGAGAGGCUUGGGGCGGCAGUGAAUAAUAUCUCGCAUAAGGGUGUUUUCAGUGGUAAAUAAAUUGUGAAAAAAAAUUGUUACAUAAUAAAUAAAUUGUUAAGAAAUGUCAAAGUUAUUUUCGGUGGUGAAAAAAUUAUAAUUGAUAUGUGAGUGAAAAAGUUAUUGAGAAAGAAGUUGAUCAGAAGUUGUUAGUUAGUAUGAACGAGAUAGUAAAAUGUCAAAACUUGUUGAUUAGUGUGAGACAACAUGGUAUAAACGCCAACUCUUUUCCCUCAAAUAGUUACUGGAAACACCAAAUGAUACCAGGGAGGCACUCAAAAAGGAUCAGCACAAACACAUCUUCUCGGAAGUACAAGGAAGAUCAUUCAUUACCUAUGGAUCACUUGGUGAUGGCAUAAACAGCAUAAAUGAUACCAGGGAGGUACCCAAAAAGGGUCAGCACCAAACAGAUCCAGAACUCCACCU